RNAcentral lists this ribosomal RNA (468 nucleotides) under uncultured bacterium. RNAcentral's name for it is "partial 16S ribosomal RNA". It matches the Rfam family "Bacterial small subunit ribosomal RNA", at positions 28 to 507 of the family's 1533-position model. The record is from RNAcentral.
GACGAACGCUGGCGGCGUGCUUAACACAUGCAAGUCGAACGGAAAGGCCCUGCUUUUGUGGGGUGCUCGAGUGGCGAACGGGUGAGUAACACGUGAGUAACCUGCCCUUGACUUUGGGAUAACUUCAGGAAACUGGGGCUAAUACCGGAUAGGAGCUCCUGCUGCAUGGUGGGGGUUGGAAAGUUUCGGCGGUUGGGGAUGGACUCGCGGCUUAUCAGCUUGUUGGUGGGGUAGUGGCUUACCAAGGCUUCGACGGGUAGCCGGCCUGAGAGGGGGGACGGGGACAAUGCUACUGAGGGAGGGAGCAGACGGGAACGGGAGGCAGCGGUCGAGAGUAUGGCACAGUGGGGCGACGCGUGAGACAGCGGCGUCGGGUUCGGGAUGCCGGCCUUCGGGGUGUAAACCGCUGUCGCCUGUGACGAAGCGUGAGUGACGGUACUGGGUAAAGAAGCACCGGCUAACUACGUG